This 335-nucleotide unclassified non-coding RNA is filed under the name soil metagenome. Its description in RNAcentral is "partial contains 5.8S ribosomal RNA, internal transcribed spacer 2, and large subunit ribosomal RNA". The stretch from base 1 to 120 matches the Rfam family "5.8S ribosomal RNA", at positions 35 to 154 of the family's 154-position model. The record is from RNAcentral.
GAUGAAGAACGCAGCGAAAUGCGAUAAGUAAUGUGAAUUGCAGAAUUCAGUGAAUCAUCGAAUCUUUGAACGCACAUUGCGCCCGCCAGUAUUCUGGCGGGCAUGCCUGUUCGAGCGUCAUUUCAACCAUCAAGCCCCAGGCUUGUGUUGGGGACCUGCGGCUGCCGCAGGCCCUGAAAACCAGUGGCGGGCUCGCUGUCACACCGGGCGUAGUAGAUUUUAUCUCGCUCAGGGCGUGCUGCGGGUUCCGGCCGUUAAAAAGCCUUUUUUACCCAAGGUUGACCUCGGAUCAGGUAGGAAGACCCGCUGAGCUUAAGCAUAUCAAUAAGCGAGGA